Esox lucius (northern pike) is the source of this 809-nucleotide long non-coding RNA. Lineage: Eukaryota; Metazoa; Chordata; Actinopteri; Esociformes; Esocidae. The record is from Ensembl.
CAGCCAAGGAGCGGCCAUAUUUUUCCAAGACCAAGAACUUCACUUCCACUGAAGUAAAAUAAAGAGAUAUUUAAUUAUUUAUUCAUUCAUUCAUCCCAUUCUCUCAAACCAGCGACAAUUUCUUUCCUUCGAUCCACGCACCAUUGCGGAAAAUCGUGGAGGCAGGAAGCCGAUCUGCUCUGAGGAGAUGACAGCCAAUUAAUGGACGGGGAAAGUCCCAGAAUUCACCCAUAUCAGUCAAGAUGGCAACCCUUGGUGCCUCAUGGAGGAAAAUACAGAGGCAGGCUGGCAGGCCACAACUGUGCUCCUAAAUAGCUGUACAGGCUGUUGGAUCCAAGGAGUCUGGAUAUUUAUAGUGAGGCAGCACAGUACAAAGCGAGGGCAGGCCAGGCAUGACAGUUCUCGGGUGGUCUGGGUUGUUUUCUCAGCCCUAUUGUGUUGUCUGUCCAUCUUCAGGCAGGGGGCCUGUUGCACUUUUACUGCCUAUUAUUCUAAUGAACAAAUGCAUUUCCAAAUCUUUUCAAAUACAGAUAUAUAUAGGACCACAAAAUGGACAUAAAUGAAACAUGACUAUAAUAGCAACAUGUUUUCUGUCUGAACGUGAUUUAUUUAAAGUCACAAUAUAAACAUAUUGUGUUUGGGAUGGAGCAGUGGAAUUAAAGCCUGUUGUUUGAAUAACAGGUUCACACCUUCUGAGCUACUAGUUUGACAUCAACUCCAAUGUGGGCUCCCAGAUGGGCUGGCAGACUAAAGUGUUUUGUUGUGGAACCAAAGUGACCACCACAUGUAAUAAAAAAUAAACACCAUCC